UGCUGCGCUAGCAGAGACCACAUCAGAGCUGAAUAAUCUGGAAUCUGAUGUGGGCAAACUCAUUCUACAGCUUGAGAACAGAAAGCAGCAGCUCCAGCUCAUGUCUGGGCAGCUACAGGAGAGUGUGAGAGAAAGUCAGCUCCUGAAACAACGCCUGAGAUACACAGAGGCCUUCACACAUCCUACAUACCAGAUCCAAGCAGUGGAGCAGCAUAUGUUGGAGAUUCAUGAACUGAAACCAACACUGCUGGAGACUAUCAGGAGGACCCAGGACCUGUACAGACAUCUGCAGGCCGCUGAGCGAGGUGCAAACACCAGUUCUACAACACGGGGACACAAUCCAGAAUUAG
Molecule: long non-coding RNA, 350 nt
Organism: Electrophorus electricus (electric eel)
Lineage: Eukaryota; Metazoa; Chordata; Actinopteri; Gymnotiformes; Gymnotidae
Source: Ensembl